Procambarus clarkii (red swamp crayfish) is the source of this 4067-nucleotide long non-coding RNA. RefSeq lists it as uncharacterized. NCBI's taxonomy places the organism in Eukaryota, Metazoa, Arthropoda, Malacostraca, Decapoda, Cambaridae. The record is from RefSeq and is a predicted model, not a curated record.
GUGUUGAGUUGUAAACGCAACUAACUGAGACCAGACCAGCGCAGUCGGUUAAGUGAAAGGGCAGUGACCUCGACUAGCAGAGCAGGCAACUAGCGUUUGGGGGUGCGAGAGUACAUGAAUGUGAGGUGAGCAGAAAGGGGCUUCACACUCAGACUGAGGAAGGAGCAAAAAUAGUUUCCAAAUCAGGAGGUAUGAACAGUCAGUCAUGUUCACCAAAGCCGAAGAAGAACCAAAGGGAAGCCAAAUCAAAUACUCUUAUCAAUACAUUAAACCAAGCCUCAUCCUUCACCACAGAGAAAGAGCUAGCUGAAGAGCCUCGCCCAUGAACACCAUCCUACCGCAAACCAGUGGAAACACUUUAUUGCUCUCAAGGGGGUUGUCAACUCUUCCUGGUAAGGAAAAAGUGGCAACCCUCUUAUGUGAGUUGAAGCUAACAAACUCGGCAAGACUUAAAACUCUAAACACCCUCCUAAGGGGAAGCCAAAACAAAUGAUAGUGAAUAACAAGCAGUUCCCUCUGUUCCUGGGCAUUUCUCACAAGGUGACCUAAACCAGGAACUCCAUAUCAUCAUAAAAGAGAAGAAGGUGCAAGAGUCCAAUCACAGCCAAGAAUUGAGACUACUGUACUAGCACAGACAUUUCAGAGAAGAUUACUGAACUUUCUGGAGGUCAUUCCAUGCUGAACUAGAAUGAAAGUUCUCUAGUUCCUACCUUCCUCCAUACAUGGCCUGGCUGGCAUGCACUUAGAAGGUCCUCACUAUCAGAAAGUGAAGGACCUGACAAGGAAGUGAAGGCUGGACUGACUUGGCAGGUCCAUGUGAGAGUGGGGCAUUGCCUAAGAGAAUAACCAAGUUCAUUAAUCUUGAUCAACACUUGCAAUUAAAUUAAGAAGAAAGACUUUUGAUUAUACAAAGAAUUGUUUUGACAUUAGAUUUGUGCUUAAAACAAUAAUGCUUGAUUUAACCUUUUCCAAAAAGAACUAACUGUUUGGUUUAUGUCAAUAAAAGUAAAUAAUGAUGGAUAAGAUUAUGAAUAAAGACUAGUUAAUGUAAAUGUUUUAGCUAAAAAACUGAUUAAUCUGUUUGUUUAUUUUCAGGUUAAAAACAAGAAUUACUAAAGGCUUCAGUUUAAGUGUAAUAUUGUAAGACACUAUAAAGAGCUCAUAAAGCCAUCUACAAAUAAGAUUUAAUCUUAUUUUUAGUGUUUCUCUUUAAUGUACUGCUGUUAGCCAUUUGUGCUCUCUUCAAUCAUAAUAAUAUCUAAUAGUCUAAAUACUCUACAGCAAGUACUGCAACCAUGACGACUAACGUCUCAUGGUGGGAGGUGAGCACUGGGAGACGGUACUGCACAAUACUCAUGGUGGGAGGACACUGGGAGAUGGUACUGCACAAUACUCAUGGUGGGAGGACACUGGGUGAUGGAACUGUACAACACUCAUGGUGGGAGGACACUGGGUGAUGGUACUGUACAAUACUCAUGGUGGGAGGAGGACACUGGGUGAUGGUACUGCACAAUACUCAUGGGAGGAGGACACUGGGUGAUGAUACUGCACAAUACUCAUGGUGGGAGGAGGACACUGGGUGAUGGUACUGCACAAUACUCAUGGUGGGAGGACACUGGGUGAUGGUACAGCACAAUACUCAUGGUGGGAGGAGGACACUGGGUGAUGGUACUGCACAAUACUCAUGGGAGGAGGACACUGGGAGAUGGUACUGCACAAUACUCAUUGUGGGAGGAGGACACUGGGUGAUGGUACUGCACAAUACUCAUGGUGGGAGGAGGACACUGGGAGAUGGUACUGCACAAUACUCAUGGUGGGAGGAGAACACUGCAUUAUAGUUCUGAUCAAUACAUCAUUAUUUUGUGUAAUUCAUGCAUAAAAUUGAUAUUUGCUUCAAUGAACAUGUACACUAAACAUGCUAGAUUGCCAUGCUUGUUUUCCACACAGGCAUUUAACAUGCACAUUACUGAGUACAGUUACUAUUAAUACAUGAAAUAUCCGUUUUGAGUAAAUGGAUAAGGAAUAUUGACGAGAAAAUACAAAACCCUAAAUUUCUAAUUUAUUUCCCAUGCAUGCAUGCAAAAAUUAUUCUACAGUUUGUCAAUAUUAGGAAAGGAUUUAGGCCUAUGAGCCACUGCUAGAACCAAAGGUUAUUCACUUUAAAGUAAAUCAAAUUAUAAUUAAUAAUAAACUGUAAUAUGCAAACAAUAGCAACACUAAUCAAAACAAAGUUUCUUUGUGAUGUUUGUUCACAUGUAAAUCAACCUGUUCUCUGCAUAGUUUGUGUCGUGUAAAGUCAUCUAGGAUAAAGAAGACAAUUAUAUUCACAUCCAACCUGGAGUAAUCUACUGUCUACUUCGAGUCUCGGAUCAGCAAGUCGUCUUGGCUCUUUCAUAGCGACAUUAUAUUUUCACUUUGUUUACUACACAUGAUAGAAACUGAAGUAAAAAUUAGUUUUGCUUUUAUAUUAAGAAAAACUCUUGCUCUUUCCAUUAUUUCAUACAAUUAAAAAUACUUUUUCAUAGUUAAAAAAAUUGUUUUUUCUUAGGACUACUGUACUGUACUUUAUUAAAAUUACUGUUCAAGUACUGUACUGUAAUUCAAUGCCAGGUCAUAAGUACCCCCAAUGCAUAUAAUAUUAUCAUAAAACUAAUAACAUUAACUAAAUAAUUGUAUUAAUAUUAAUUUCUAAUUACUGUACAGUCAAAAACUGUUUACCUAGAUUUUAUAACAAGAAAAAUAAUAGUCAUAUUUACCAAUAUUCAUUAUACAGCACUAUUGUAAAUAAUGGUGACCGAGGUUUGAUCAAGAAAAAUAAACAUUUACACGCAAAUACAUUUUUGUUAAUGACCAUCGAGCUUGUAAGUCAAUUUUUAUGUAUUUCACAUUAUACAAUGUAUAAAGCAACUUAACAUACCUUAUGCACAAUAAAUUAUAGACAGAUGCGAGGUGGUGGUGUGUGGGAGCUGUUCUUGGCUCUCUCUGAACUACUUGCUCAAUAGGGCAAUGCUUGCUUCUGAAGCCAACAGAUAACAUGUAUUGGAUCCAAACUCCUGCUUUGAACAUCAGCCAUUUGAUCAAACUGUAUAAGGAGUAAAAUCCCCCUUUCCCUCCCCCCUCAAGGCACUUGGCAAAAUUGUAAUUAUGAAGGGUCACUGAUAAUUAUUUUCAUUGGGUCAUAACAGUGUGAUCAGUCCAGUGAAAUGGCUACAAAAACUAUUUCUAUGACUUCAGCCUACCCAACUUUAAACAAAAUUAUUAUUCUGAAGUUAAUACAAGGAUCCCACUGUAAGAUGGCAUCUAUUCCCUGCUACUGUUGAAAGAAAAGAUUGACUAGGCAUCUCUUAACUCUCCUCUGUUCCUUAUCUAAUAGUGCAAAACAAGUGCGCCAAUAAGAAGUGUUCACCUUAAUACUCUUCCAUCACUGCUAUAGAGAAUACAAAUGCUCCAGCUCACCUUAGAAGCAAUAUAAAGAAUUUGAACAAUAUAGAGAAUUUAAAAGAUUAUAUUGCUUCUCAUUCCUGUUAAAUACUAUAUAACAUUUAUAUAAAAUAUAAUGCUACCUCUUUGUCAUAUUUUGUAUGACAUUUAACUAUAAAACUAUUUAUUUGGUCACAACUUGUUGACCGUUAAUUAUGAGUGGCUGGGCGCAUUUGUUCUCUACCAUGUAAUCUGCUAAAUAUAUUACUGUGCAUAUCAUAACUGUUUGAUUUGAACAACAAUAAUACUGUGUUAUGCAUGACUUCUCAGUCAGUAAAAAUAAUGAGCUUUUGUUGAGCUUUAUAGAGUAUGCUAAUAAGAAUGAAAAAUUAGUUCUUAUGAGCAAUACAGUAAAGUCUUCUACUACAACAAUUGUUUCAAGAUACACACACAAAUAUAUAUAAAAAUGAAUACUGUAAUUAGACCAGUAUGUGAAGACAUGCUGAGAAUUUAAUAUUACAUUCAAUAUUUAAGGCUACAGUAAAACUCCAAAAAUUAAGAUUUGGAAAGAUGACUGAAGAAUUCGUGUUCCCAACACUUGGAACAUUAAUAUCCUGAACAAAAUGUGUAAUAAAUAAAUUAAAUAA